Molecule: unclassified non-coding RNA, 275 nt
Filed under: fungal sp.
Lineage: Eukaryota; Fungi
Also listed under: 1 other name
Description: partial internal transcribed spacer region
Rfam family: Eukaryotic small subunit ribosomal RNA (bases 1-46)
Source: RNAcentral
AAGUCGUAACAAGGUUUCCGUAGGUGAACCUGCGGAAGGAUCAUUACCAAAUCCAAAUUCAACCACUUGUGAACAUGUCUUGUAUUGUCUUUUGGGAGGUUUUUCUGUGAGAAAAAACUUGAAAAGGUUUUUUCAAAUGGAGAGCCUCCCAUUGGGCGCGUGCGCAUUGUUGAAAAGCAAUGCCACAACCAAUGAAACCACAAUUCAAAAUUAUCAUUUGGUUUUUAAUUUUAAAAAUAAAAUGACAACUUUUAACGGUGGAUCUCUUGGCUCAU